Molecule: ribosomal RNA, 576 nt
Filed under: Campostoma anomalum (central stoneroller)
Lineage: Eukaryota; Metazoa; Chordata; Actinopteri; Cypriniformes; Leuciscidae
Description: partial large subunit ribosomal RNA
Rfam family: Bacterial large subunit ribosomal RNA
Source: RNAcentral
CGCCUCCUGCGACUAACUGAGUAUAGGAGGUCCAGCCUGCCCAGUGACUACGGGUUUAACGGCCGCGGUAUUUUGACCGUGCAAAGGUAGCGCAAUCACUUGUCUCUUAAAUAGAGACCUGUAUGAAUGGCUAGACGAGGGCUUAACUGUCUCCCCCCUUCAGUCAGUGAAAUUGAUCUAUCCGUGCAGAAGCGGGUAUACUACUACAAGACGAGAAGACCCUUUGGAGCUUAAGGUAUAAAAUUCAACCACGUUAAACGACUCUAUAAAAAGCAGGAACUUAGUGGCCGUGAAAUUUUACCUUCGGUUGGGGCGACCACGGAGUAAAAAUCAACCUCCGAGUGGACUGGGCCAAACCCCUAGAACUAAGAGAAACAUCUCUAAGCCACAGAACAUCUGACCAAUAAUGAUCCGACUACAAUAGUCGAUCAACGAACCAAGUUACCCUAGGGAUAACAGCGCAAUCCUCUCCCAGAGCCCAUAUCAACGAGAGGGUUUACGACCUCGAUGUUGGAUCAGGACAUCCUAAUGGUGCAGCCGCUAUUAAGGGUUCGUUUGUUCAACGAUUAAAGUCCU